Molecule: long non-coding RNA, 251 nt
Filed under: Lathyrus oleraceus (garden pea)
Lineage: Eukaryota; Viridiplantae; Streptophyta; Magnoliopsida; Fabales; Fabaceae
Description: Pisum sativum (pea) long non-coding RNA (PSAT_LNC009395)
Source: RNAcentral
UUAAACUAAAUUAUAACUUAAAUUGAGUUCAACAGACAAUAGACAUGCAAUUUUAACUUAAACUAAUUUUUUUUCUUUGGGAUGGUUAUCUUUGUUUGUGUAGUUCUUCUUGUUAUUGGCUCAACUGCACUCUUGUAUGUGCCCAAUCUAGUUGUAGGUUUUGGUGGUACAAAUGGUGUUGAUGACCUCCUAACAGGGAGCUUCUUUGCCCUUCCAUGAGUUUAUUGCUGAGAUGUUUGAGUAGCUUGUUG